AAGGGCAGGUGUAACUAAUGACAUUAAUGAUGUCUCCAUUCCAUUAGGACAAACAUUUGGGUGUGUCAGUAUGAGCCAGCAUGCACAGUCUCUGGAAUCUGAUACUGGAGUGCAGCCACUGUUGAUUAAUGUCAUUAGAUACACCUGUGUUCAGAUGCAGGGGCCUGGAAAGUGACACCAAGUCUAACUUUAUCUCGGCCUUUUUAUUUUUUUCUUAAAACUUUCAUCAACGUUUUUUUUAAAAAAACAAAGUGGAUGUUACUCCAUGUGUUGAUUGGCUGCUGAAUGCUCAUGUGUUGGAGAAAGAAAGUUUGGCUGAUAAGCUGAAAGACUGAGAGAGAAAGAGCUGAGCUGAGCUGAGAAGUGGCUGCAGCGUGUCUAAAUGGAUGAAUUUAUCCCUUCAAAACAAGUGAGGCUGAAGAACUGAUGGAUGUUUCCUGAAGGUUCGGUCAACAUUUCUUCACACUGAUUAUUAAAGGACUGAAGAGCAAAGAGCCAUUUGUGGGAUUUUUUCCAGUCUUUUGCUGGCUCAUUGCUUUUUCGGGACAUGGCGCCACCACCAGCAUCAGUGGAAUAGCUUUUGGGAAACCGACAGAUCGAGAAGACAGAUAAGGGGAUAGAGAGAAGGGGAGAGAUGAGGAUUAAGAGGUAUUCUCAUCAGGGGGCUUGUGAAUCCUCACCUUGAACACUGAACUUGAGCUGAUCCUGCCAUGCCAUCGGCGAUCUGGUUUAGCCAGUAUUCCCAGCAAUCUUCUCCAACGCUGCUUGUCUGAGUGCUUUAAUUUGACUGGCUGAGGUUUCCAUGUGGAACCACUAAUGAAAGUGCCUUCAGGAUGCACUGACAGAGCUCUGGGGAAUCACUCCGGCUAUAUCCUUUAAGAGAUCUGUAAGGUUAACAUUGCUUUCAGUAAUUAAAGUAGAUUUG
Molecule: long non-coding RNA, 925 nt
Organism: Scatophagus argus
Lineage: Eukaryota; Metazoa; Chordata; Actinopteri; Scatophagidae
Exons: 3
Source: RefSeq, a predicted model, not a curated record